CUCUAGUUUCUGUGGAUGGUUCUUCUUCCGAGGUUUCACCCACUGCUCCUGAUUUUCUUCAUAGCCCAGAUCAAGUAACUUCCCUAGAUAGUACUUGAUUUUCUCAUCACAUUCAGAAGUUUGUGAAGAUGUUCUAGGAUUAAUGGGUGCCUCAUUGAGAAUUUUGCGGACUGAUUCUUUAAUAUCUUCCUUCUCCUUUUCUCUUUGUGCUUUCUUCUCUUCGCCUUUCUUAUGCUCAGUAUUGAUUCUUUCCUCCUCUUCAUCAUCACUGCUUUCGAUCUCAAUUGUUUCCUCCUUUGGCUUCCUUUUUCCUCCUGUUGUAACAACUUUGCACUCAUCUUUUGGGUUAACAUCAGUAUUAGCCCGAAAUUGAUGUUUU
Molecule: long non-coding RNA, 379 nt
Filed under: Vigna radiata
Lineage: Eukaryota; Viridiplantae; Streptophyta; Magnoliopsida; Fabales; Fabaceae
Description: long non-coding RNA (VRAD_LNC014772)
Source: RNAcentral